GCCGGGCGUGGUGGCUCAUGCCUGUAAUCCCAGCACUUUGGGAGGCCGAGGCAGGUGGAUCACCUGAGGUCAGGAGUUCCAGACCAGCCUGGCCAACAUGGCGAAACCCUGUCUCUA
Unclassified non-coding RNA from Pongo abelii (Sumatran orangutan), 117 nucleotides. It matches the Rfam family "Metazoan signal recognition particle RNA". From Rfam's summary of the family: The signal recognition particle (SRP) is a universally conserved ribonucleoprotein. It is involved in the co-translational targeting of proteins to membranes. The eukaryotic SRP consists of a 300-nucleotide 7S RNA and six proteins: SRPs 72, 68, 54, 19, 14, and 9. NCBI's taxonomy places the organism in Eukaryota, Metazoa, Chordata, Mammalia, Primates, Hominidae. The record is from Ensembl.